RNAcentral lists this ribosomal RNA (465 nucleotides) under uncultured bacterium. RNAcentral's name for it is "partial 16S ribosomal RNA". It matches the Rfam family "Bacterial small subunit ribosomal RNA", at positions 28 to 507 of the family's 1533-position model. The record is from RNAcentral.
GAUGAACGCUGGCGGCGUGCUUAACACAUGCAAGUCGAACGGAAAGGCUCCUGCUUGCAGGGGUACUCGAGUGGCGAACGGGUGAGUAACACGUGGGUGAUCUGCCCUGCACUUCGGGAUAAGCCUGGGAAACUGGGUCUAAUACCGGAUAGGACGAUGGUUUGGAUGCCAUUGUGGAAAGUUUUUCGGUGUGGGAUGAGCUCGCGGCCUAUCAGCUUGUUGGUGGGGUAAUGGCCUACCAAGGCGUCGACGGGUAGCCGGCCUGAGAGGGUGUACGGCCAUAUUGGGACUGAGAUACGGCCCAGACUCCUACGGGAGGCAGCAGUGGGGAAUAUUGCACAAUGGGCGCAAGCCUGAUGCAGCGACGCCGCGUGGGGGAUGACGGCCUUCGGGUUGUAAACUCCUUUCGCUAGGGACGAAGCGCAAGUGACGGUACCUGGAGAAGAAGCACCGGCUAACUACGUG